GCGGGUGUGGCGGAACUGGCAGACGCACUGGAUUUAGGUUCCAGCGCCGCAAGGCGUGGGGGUUCAAAUCCCUCCACCCGCACCA
Molecule: transfer RNA, 85 nt
Filed under: Hyphomicrobiales bacterium
Lineage: Bacteria; Pseudomonadati; Pseudomonadota; Alphaproteobacteria; Hyphomicrobiales
Also listed under: 2 other names
Description: Rhizobiales bacterium (grounwater metagenome) tRNA-Leu
Rfam family: tRNA
About the family: Transfer RNA (tRNA) molecules are approximately 80 nucleotides in length. Their secondary structure includes four short double-helical elements and three loops (D, anti-codon, and T loops).
Source: RNAcentral